GGGCGCUUGGCACAGUGGUAGCGCGCAUGCUUUGCAAGAACCGAUGACUUGUUUGCAUGAGGUCGGGAGUUCAAUCCUCCCAGCGUCCA
Non-coding RNA from Panus rudis PR-1116 ss-1, 89 nucleotides. The record is from the annotation of a GenBank genome assembly. Lineage: Eukaryota; Fungi; Basidiomycota; Agaricomycetes; Polyporales; Panaceae.